UGAGUGCCUGCACUUCUCUGGG
This 22-nucleotide non-coding RNA is filed under the name Mus musculus (house mouse). Lineage: Eukaryota; Metazoa; Chordata; Mammalia; Rodentia; Muridae. The record is from RNAcentral.